Molecule: non-coding RNA, 604 nt
Organism: Microcebus murinus (gray mouse lemur)
Lineage: Eukaryota; Metazoa; Chordata; Mammalia; Primates; Cheirogaleidae
Source: RefSeq, a predicted model, not a curated record
GGGCAGAAGGUGGCCACCCAUGAGCCUUGAAUCUGUAUCUUUUGCAUCUAUCCUCGUUUAUAUUCCUGGAGGAAUCUUGGUAGCCCAGUGUUACUACGACAGAUCAUCAUAGACCAGAAGUAUCAUGGGAUGUGGGAUGUCCAAUGCCAGCCAAGAGGGAGUAAGUCAACUGCAGUCAACCUUUCCCACUGAGUAUAACUAACAUUGUAGACAAAAUGCAGAAGAAAAAAACCCUAAAGAAGCUAAAAAGUAAAUAAUAGCAAGAAAAUUGAGGACCAAAGUCAAAACUUUAAUGACCCAUAGCCUGGGACUUCAUCUGCGGACGAACCUGCCACCUCACUGACCCCAACCUUUUCCUCAGUAGGGAUUCUGCCGCAGAGUGAAUGAGCACAAUUCAGGAUGGUCCCAGGCAUUUUAACCAGAAGGAACAACUCUCUCCGUGGGUCAAUUGAGGAAGAAGGCAAAGCCUAUCUGCCUCCACCAGUGCUGCCCUGGCCAGAGUUCUGCCUGUCCCCACACUGUCCCCACACUGCUGUGGACAGGAGAGCCUGAGCACAUGCGGCCAGAGGCUAUGGACAGCACCCCCACCCAGCCUGGAACUAAA